GUCCACGCCGUAAACGAUGGAUGCUAGCCGUCGGCCAGCUUGCUGGUCGGUGGCGCAGCUAACGCUUUAAGCAUCCCGCCUGGGGAGUACGGCCGCAAGGUUAAAACUCAAAGGAAUUGACGGGGGCCAGCACAAGCGGUGGAGCAUGUGGUUUAAUUCGACGCAACGCGAAGAACCUUACCAGCCCUUGACAUGAUCUGGAAGCUCCGCAGAGACGUGGGGCGCCGCAAGGCCGGAUCACAGGUGUUGCAUGGCUGUCGU
This 261-nucleotide ribosomal RNA is filed under the name uncultured bacterium. RNAcentral describes it as "partial 16S ribosomal RNA". It matches the Rfam family "Bacterial small subunit ribosomal RNA", at positions 793 to 1055 of the family's 1533-position model. The record is from RNAcentral.